This 500-nucleotide long non-coding RNA is filed under the name Olea europaea subsp. europaea. It matches the Rfam family "Eukaryotic small subunit ribosomal RNA", at positions 1261 to 1777 of the family's 1831-position model. The record is from RNAcentral. Lineage: Eukaryota; Viridiplantae; Streptophyta; Magnoliopsida; Lamiales; Oleaceae.
CUAGAUUCUACGGGUGGUGGUGCAUGGCCAUUCUUAGUUGGUGAAGCAAUUUAUUUGAUUAAUUUGGUUAACGAACGAGACCUCAGUCUCCUAACUAGCUAUGCCAAUGUAACCCUUUGUGGCCAGCUUCUUAGAGGGACUACGACCUUUUAGGUCGUGGAAGUUUGAGAAAAUAAUAGGUCUAUGGUGCCCUUAGAUGUUCUGGGCCACAAGCGUGCUUCAUUGAUGUAUUCAACGAGUUUAUAGCCUUGGUCGACAGGUCCGGGUAAUCUUUGAAAUUUCAUCGUGAUGGGGAUAGAUCAUUGUAAUUGUUGGUCUUCAACGAGGAAUUCCUAGUAAGCGUAAGUCAUCAGUUCAUGUUGACUACAUCCCUAUCCUUUAUACAUAAUGCCAAUCAUUCUUACUGAUUUAAUGUUCUAGUGAAGUGUUCAUAUCACAUCGACGUGGGCAGUUUGCUGCCCUCGACAUCAUGAGAAGUCCACUAAACCUUAUCAUUUAGA